UACGAGGGGGGCGAGCGUUGUUCGGAAUUAUUGGGCGUAAAGGGUGCGUAGGCGGUUUGGUAAGUCUGAUGUGAAAUCUAUGGGCUCAACUCAUAGUCUGCAUCGGAAACUGCCGGGCUUGAGUAUGGGAGAGGUGAGUGGAACUGCGAGUGUAGAGGUGAAAUUCGUAGAUAUUCGCAAGAACACCAGUGGCGAAGGCGGCUCACUGGCCCGAUACUGACGCUGAGGCACGAAAGCGUGGGGAGCAAACAGG
Molecule: ribosomal RNA, 253 nt
Filed under: uncultured bacterium
Lineage: Bacteria
Description: partial 16S ribosomal RNA
Rfam family: Bacterial small subunit ribosomal RNA
Source: RNAcentral